CCUACGGGUGGCAGCAGGGAGGAAUAUUGGUCAAUGGGCGCGAGCCGGAACCAGCCAAGUCGCGUGAGGGAAGACGGCCCUACGGGGUGUAAACCUCUUUUGCCGGGGAGCAACGGGCGCCACGUGUGGCGCCACGGAGAGGACCCGGAGAAAAAGCAGCGGCUAACGCCGUGCCAGCAGCCGCGGUAAUACGGAGGAGGCGAGCGUUAGCCGGAUUGAUUGGGUUGAAAGGGGGCGUAGGCGGAGCGUUAAGUCAGUGGUCAAAUUGAGGGGCUCAACCCCUGCCCGCCAUUGAAACUGGCGCUCUUGAGUGGACGAGAAGUAUGCGGAAUGCGUGGUGUAGCGGU
This 347-nucleotide ribosomal RNA is filed under the name uncultured bacterium. RNAcentral's name for it is "partial 16S ribosomal RNA". It matches the Rfam family "Bacterial small subunit ribosomal RNA", at positions 338 to 682 of the family's 1533-position model. The record is from RNAcentral.